Acanthosepion pharaonis is the source of this 103-nucleotide non-coding RNA. NCBI's taxonomy places the organism in Eukaryota, Metazoa, Mollusca, Cephalopoda, Sepiida, Sepiidae. The record is from the annotation of a GenBank genome assembly.
AUGCGGCCAUAAAACGUUGAAACACCGGUUCUCGUCCGAUCAUCGAAGUUGAGGCUGGUCAGUACUCAGAUGGUUGAUCGCUGGGGAGUACUAGGUGCUGUAU